RNAcentral lists this ribosomal RNA (495 nucleotides) under uncultured bacterium. RNAcentral's name for it is "partial 16S ribosomal RNA". It matches the Rfam family "Bacterial small subunit ribosomal RNA", at positions 28 to 507 of the family's 1533-position model. The record is from RNAcentral.
GACGAACGCUGGCGGCGUGCCUAAUACAUGCAAGUAGAACGCUGAAGGAGGAGCUUGCUCUUCUGGAUGAGUUGCGAACGGGUGAGUAACGCGUAGGUAACCUGCCUGGUAGCGGGGGAUAACUCUUGGAAACGAUAGCUAAUACCGCAUAAGAGUAGAUGUUGCAUGACAUUUACUUAAAAGGUGCAAUUGCAUCACUACCAGAUGGACCUGCGUUGUCUUAGCUAGUUGGUGGGGUAACGGCUUACCAAGGCGAUGAUACAUAGCCGACCUGAGAGGGGGAUCGGACACACUGGGACUGAAACACGGCCCAGACUACUACGGGAGGCAGCAGUAGGGAAUCUUCGGCAAUGGACGGAAGUAUGACCGAGCAACGCCGCGUGAGUGAAGAAGGUUUUCGGAUCGUAAAGCUCUGUUGUAAGAGAAGAACGAGUGUGAGAGUGGAAAGUUCAAACUGUGACGGUAUCUUACCAGAAAGGGACGGCUAACUACGUG